UACGGGGGGGGUAAGCGUUGCUCGGAAUUACUGGGCGUAAAGGGCUCGUAGGCGGCCAACUAAGUCAUACGUGAAAUCCCUCAGCUUAACUGGGGAACUGCGUGUGAUACUGGAUGGCUUGGAUGUGGGAGAGGGAUGCGGAAUUCCAGGUGUAGCGGUGAAAUGCGUAGAUAUCUGGAGGAACACCGGUGGCGAAGGCGGCAUCCUGGACCAUUAUUGACGCUGAGGAGCGAAAGCCAGGGGAGCAAACGGG
Molecule: ribosomal RNA, 253 nt
Filed under: uncultured bacterium
Lineage: Bacteria
Description: partial 16S ribosomal RNA
Rfam family: Bacterial small subunit ribosomal RNA
Source: RNAcentral